Molecule: ribosomal RNA, 524 nt
Filed under: uncultured bacterium
Lineage: Bacteria
Description: bacterial SSU rRNA
Rfam family: Bacterial small subunit ribosomal RNA
Source: RNAcentral
CUUGGACAAUGGGGGCAACCCUGAUCCAGCAAUGCCGCGUGGGUGAAGAAGGCCUUCGGGUUGUAAAGCCCUUUCGGCAGGGAAGAAAUCGGCGGGGUGAAUAGCCCUGCUGGAUGACGGUACCUGCAGAAGAAGCACCGGCUAACUACGUGCCAGCAGCCGCGGUAAUACGUAGGGUGCGAGCGUUAAUCGGAUUUACUGGGCGUAAAGCGUGCGCAGGCGGCCCGUUAAGACAGGUGUGAAAUCCCUGGGCUCAACCUAGGAAUUGCGCUUGUGACUGGCGGGCUAGAGUACGGUAGAGGGGGGUGGAAUUCCUGGUGUAGCAGUGAAAUGCGUAGAGAUCAGGAGGAACACCGAUGGCGAAGGCAGCCCCCUGGGCCUGUACUGACGCUCAUGCACGAAAGCGUGGGGAGCAAACAGGAUUAGAUACCCUGGUAGUCCACGCCCUAAACGAUGGGUACUAGCCGUUUGGUGCAUCAAGGCGCUGAGUGGCGAAGCUAACGCGUGAAGUACCCCGCCUGGGA